GAAUUCUUCUUCUGGAAAUUAUCACUGGGAGAAGGCCUGUGGACUCAUCAAGACAAAAUCUACUUUUAUGGGUAAAUACAAAGGACAUAUUUUAAUUAUUUUUCUAUUUUACUUAUAUUUCCUUCGGGAGGCGCGUGUUGGAGCAAUGGUAAAGUUGUCUCCAUGCAUAUGACCUAUAGGUUACGGGUUCAAAUCGCUGAAGCAACUACUAAUGCUUGCAUUAGAGUAGGCUGUCCACAUCCCAAAGGCAACCCUUCCCCGAACCGCUGAAGCAACCACUAAAGCGAGCUGCCUUGUGUGGCGGACCGCCCUUUUUUUUUCCUUUUGGAAUUUUUUGAAACAUUUAAGGAAAAAGACAAGAAAAUUUUGGACUAUGGUCCAUAGAUUUAACAAUGAUAUUGCUCUCAAAAAUCUCCCAUUUUGUAUGUCUUUUCCAAUGAACAUAAAUAAGCAUGUGUAAGUUGGAUAUGAAAAUGACUUGUGAUCUAAGGGGCUAGGAAAAAUCUAGGAAAUUAUCUUAUUAGAUAAAAUUUUGAAAAUAUAUUUAAAGAUGAUAAAAAUAUUGUAUUUCAUGUUAUUAUAGUUUGUUAAAUGAAUUUUAUUAAUUAAUUGCUAAAAAAUAUUUUAGGCGACACCGCUGAUGGAAGCUGGAAAAUUGAUAGAAUUAGCGGAUCCAAAGUUGGAGGAUGAGUUUGAUAUGGAUGAAUUGCAUAAGAUGGUGCUCACAGCUUCAUAUUGUGUAAGACAAUCCUCAAUAUGGCGCCCGUCAAUGACCGAGGUAAUAUACUAUUCGUCUAUUCAUAAUAUUCAACUGAGACAAAAAAUAUUAAUAAAAAAUUAUAGUCAGUUAAAUGUAUUUUUAGAAGGGGAGCCUUAGCUUAACUGGUAAAGUUGUUGUCAUGUGACUAGGAGGUCAUGGGUUCGAGCCAUGAAAACAACCUCUUGUAGCAGAGUAAGACUGCGUACAAUAGAUCCUUGUGGUCAGAGGCGGACCCAUGUGUGGGUGAGGGAUCACCGGACCCCGUAAACUUCGGAUGAAAUCAUGUAUAUAUAUACGUGUAUACCUUGAAAAUGGUUAAUUUAAAGUAGUUGGCACCCAGAAUACUAAAAGCCUUUAGGGGCACUGGUUGAGCAGAAUAAUAUGCUCCCGUUGCAUAAAAAUUCUGGGUCCGCCUCUGCUUGUGGUCCAGCUCUUUUCCGGACCCCGCGCAUAGUGGGAGCUUAGUGCACCGGACUGCCCUUUAUAUGAAUUUUUAGAAGGAGAGACUUGGAGCAAUUUAUCUCCGAGUGACCUAUAGGUCAUGGGUUCAAGCCGUGGAAGCAGCCACUAAUGCUUGCAUUAGGAUAGACUGUCUAUAUCACGCCCUUUGGGAUGCGGCCCUUUCACGGACCCUUUCUGAACGCGAUAUACUUUGCGCAUCGAGCUGCUUUUUUUUAUAUGAAUUCUUACCGACAAUGUCGCUUCAAUAAAAAAAACAUAUAAAUGAUUAUUUUUUUUUUUAUUUUAUUUUUGUUUUACUUGAUUUGUGUAGGUGUUAGAGUUGUUGAGAUAUGGGGAUGAUUCUGAAGCUGCAAGAAGUUGGAGAAUACCAAAAUUUACAAGUGAUGAAGUUGAUGAUUACUCAAUGGUUUUUGGAUAUGAUCUUCCUUCUGAUUUAAUUUUGGAAGACCUUUUCUAAUUAUUUUUUUCCAUAAUGUAGAAUUAAAAAAAAAACUUUUUUCUUAGAGUUUCCACUUAAACAAAUUAUUAUGUUUAGGUUAUUUCAUAGGACACAUAUAUAGGUUUUUGUGUUAGCCUUUUGUUAAGGGAAUUGCAAAUUGCUGUGUAGUUUAUUAAUAAUCAGACUAAAGGAAUUUUUUAUCUUAUUAUUAAUUUCAUAAGUUACAUUUUUUAAUUUUGAUUCUAUGAUUUAUCAAUUACCUUUGUGUUAUUGUUGUGUCAUUUACUUUGGUUUCUCCAAGUCUCUGUUUUUCUAUUUAUUUUUUCAAACAAAACUACAAAGUUUUGGCUAAAUCAAAUGAGAAAAUUCUGGAAUAUUUUUGCUAAUUUUUGCGCUUAUCGGAUCAUGCCUAAAAGAAUACAUGAUAAAUGAAAUAAUUUCGUUAAAUGUCACACUUCAGCUAAUAAAAAAAAAUUAUACACACUCGAUAUUUAUAUCAAAAAUACUAUGUGACGGUUUGUUUUUGCCCGUCCUAAGUCCUAAAUGAUGCAACGUAAGUAGCUAAUUGACCUAGUGCUGUAUUCCGGGCCGGGCCCGGGCCUAAAUGGGCCAAACGGGCCGGGCUUAGCGGGUCUGGGCUCUGGCGGUCCCGGACUUCAUGGGCUCAACGGGUGGAACCAGCCCGUGACGGGCCUAAGCCCAUAUGGUCCUGGUCUAAACGGGCCGGGCUCGUGGGCUUAGCGGGCCUAACGGGCUUUUUUUUAAAAAAAAGUUUUGCUUAAGGCAAUUUCUUGUAAACCAUAUCAUGGCUAUAUAAAAAAUAUAUAUAUAUAUAGAAAUCUAAUUAUUAAAGUGCUUGACGAAAAAGUAAAAUAACAAAACAAUAGUAAAACUAAAUUGUCAUGCAUAAUAAAUUAAUAAGAAAGUACAACAUGAAGUAUAAAUACGUCUAGUAAUUUUAAAAUAACACGAAUUGUUGAAAUAUCUUAAAGACGAAUUUGCGGAUAAAUACCAUCAACACAAUACGUUAUAUGCCUCCUUAAAAUGCCUGUGGUACACCCUGAACGAAAAUUUAAGACUCUUCCACAGUUCUUGCAUUUUAAUAUUUGGCCUUCUUCAUUUUCUUCAAGCACUUCAUAGUAGUGCGAAACAAAUAAGCGCACUCUUUCCGAACGAGGCAUGAUGUAACUUGAAAAUUAAGAUUGAGACUUGAAGUUUUGAAAAUUGGAGAUUAAGAGAUCGAGAGAAAUUUAGAUU
This 2918-nucleotide long non-coding RNA is filed under the name Nicotiana tabacum (common tobacco). Its description in RNAcentral is "long non-coding RNA (NTAB_LNC005692)". The record is from RNAcentral. Lineage: Eukaryota; Viridiplantae; Streptophyta; Magnoliopsida; Solanales; Solanaceae.